This 207-nucleotide ribosomal RNA is filed under the name uncultured bacterium. RNAcentral describes it as "partial 16S ribosomal RNA". It matches the Rfam family "Bacterial small subunit ribosomal RNA", at positions 568 to 774 of the family's 1533-position model. The record is from RNAcentral.
UGCGUAGGCGGCAUGGCAAGUUUGAUGUGAAAGCUCCGAGCUCAACUCGGAAAUUGCAUUGAAAACUGCCAAGCUCGAGGAUCGGAGGGGAGAGUGGAAUUCUUGGUGUAGCAGUGAAAUGCGUAGAUAUCAAGAGGAACACCAGUGGCGAAGGCGACUCUCUGGACGAUUCCUGACGCUGAGGCACGAAGGCUAGGGGAGCAAACA